GACGAACGCUGGCGGCGCGCCUAACACAUGCAAGUCGAACGAGCGAGAGAGAGCUUGCUUUCUCGAGCGAGUGGCGAACGGGUGAGUAACGCGUGAGGAACCUGCCUCAAAGAGGGGGACAACAGUUGGAAACGACUGCUAAUACCGCAUAAGCCCACAGCUCGGCAUCGAGCAGAGGGAAAAGGAGCAAUCCGCUUUGAGAUGGCCUCGCGUCCGAUUAGCUAGUUGGUGAGGUAAUGGCCCACCAAGGCGACGAUCGGUAGCCGGACUGAGAGGUUGAACGGCCACAUUGGGACUGAGACACGGCCCAGACUCCUACGGGAGGCAGCAGUGGGGAAUAUUGCACAAUGGGGGAAACCCUGAUGCAGCGACGCCGCGUGGAGGAAGAAGGUCUUCGGAUUGUAAACUCCUGUUGUUGAGGAAGAUAAUGACGGUACUCAACAAGGAAGUGACGGCUAACUACGUGCCAGCAGCCGCGGUAAAACGUAGGUCACAAGCGUUGUCCGGAAUUACUGGGUGUAAAGGGAGCGCAGGCGGGAAGACAAGUUGGAAGUGAAAUCCAUGGGCUCAACCCAUGAACUGCUUUCAAAACUGUUUUUCUUGAGUAGUGCAGAGGUAGGCGGAAUUCCCGGUGUAGCGGUGGAAUGCGUAGAUAUCGGGAGGAACACCAGUGGCGAAGGCGGCCUACUGGGCACCAACUGACGCUGAGGCUCGAAAGUGUGGGUAGCAAACAGGAUUAGAUACCCUGGUAGUCCACACUGUAAACGAUGAUUACUAGGUGUUGGAGGAUUGACCCCUUCAGUGCCGCAGUUAACACAAUAAGUAAUCCACCUGGGGAGUACGACCGCAAGGUUGAAACUCAAAGGAAUUGACGGGGGCCCGCACAAGCAGUGGAGUAUGUGGUUUAAUUCGACGCAACGCGAAGAACCUUACCAAGUCUUGACAUCCUGCGACGCACAUAGAAAUAUGUGUUUCCUUCGGGACGCAGAGACAGGUGGUGCAUGGUUGUCGUCAGCUCGUGUCGUGAGAUGUUGGGUUAAGUCCCGCAACGAGCGCAACCCUUAUGGUCAGUUACUACGCAAGAGGACUCUGGCCAGACUGCCGUUGACAAAACGGAGGAAGGUGGGGAUGACGUCAAAUCAUCAUGCCCUUUAUGACUUGGGCUACACACGUACUACAAUGGCGUUAAACAAAGAGAAGCAAGACCGCGAGGUGGAGCAAAACUCAGAAACAACGUCCCAGUUCGGACUGCAGGCUGCAACUCGCCUGCACGAAGUCGGAAUUGCUAGUAAUCGCAGAUCAGCAUGCUGCGGUGAAUACGUUCCCGGGCCUUGCACU
This 1338-nucleotide ribosomal RNA is filed under the name uncultured bacterium. RNAcentral's name for it is "bacterial SSU rRNA". It matches the Rfam family "Bacterial small subunit ribosomal RNA", at positions 28 to 1387 of the family's 1533-position model. The record is from RNAcentral.